CGGCUGUUCAAGAAGAGUGUGGUGACCGAGGCUGAGGUAACUGCACGGUCUCCUGUUUUCCCUGGCCACACCCAGCACACCCCACCUUGGAAACCUUCUGGGGUUCCCCCGGGCCUCAUGGGGUGUGGCAGUUCCUCAGUAGGGCUCUCUAAGCCCUUCCAUGCACCCCCCUUCCCCAGGGGGCCACUGCUUUCCUCUCCCAGUCACCACCUGGCUGGUGGGGCCCUCCCUCCUGAGACACCAGGUGCUUCUGGCUUUAGUCAGGCCCAUCUGCUUUCCGGGCUGGAGGAAUCCUCUGGCCUUGGGCUCUGGGAGGCUUUGCACACCACCUGCCCUGUGGGAUCCGUGCCCAGCUCAGAUCUGGGGGCGAGUGGAGCAGUAGGUGGAGGAUGGACCUCCUCUGAGCCCUGGCCUCGGUUCCAGGUCAAGGUGUACAUCCAGCAGCUGGCAGAAGGGCUGCAUUAUCUGCACGGCCAGAGCAUUCUCCAUUUGGACAUAAAGGUGCUUGACCUUCUUGGGGCCCCGCAGGGACCAGGGAGGGACCCUGAACAUGGGGGGGGCGGGUAGAUGCAAGUCUAGCACUUCCAGACUCUCUGGGGAUGCAGAGUGAUAUCAGGUGGGGUACAGCUCGGAUGAACUGGAAGCUGUCCCCAAAUAGCACUAAAACCUACCCCAAGACUGCCCACUGUCCCACCAGCAUCACCGUUGCCUUGGGAAAGCCCUUCACAGACCCCUGUGUGUUCCCUGCGGCCCUGGGAGCCCCCUCCUUAGGGCAUGGCCUCCCCUCUCCCUGACUGUGUCUCACAGCCCCCAAAUAUCCUGAUGGUGCAUCCCGCUCGGGAGGACAUUAAAAUCUGCGACUUCGGCUUUGCCCAAAAAAUCACCCCAGUAGAGCCACAAUACAGCAAGUAUGGCUCCCCAGAGUUUGUAUCCCCUGAGAUCAUUGAGCAGACUCCUGUGAGCGAGGCCUCGGACAUCUGGUAAGUGAGUGGCCACUGGGGAUGCCAGCAGCCCCGCCCCACACACAGUCGCUGCCCCUCCUCCCACACCCCCCAACUCUGAGCAUACCCUUUGCCUGAAGCCCAGGCAUGGGAUGACUCAAGACUGUGCUUUUGCUCCUGCAGGGCCAUGGGGGUCAUCUCCUAUCUCAGGUAAGCAGACACCUGCCUCUGUCAACCACCCCCUCUGAAACCAAGCGCCGAUCCCUUCCCCAUCAGACCCAUGACAAGCCACGUGCACUACUGGCUGCUUCCCAGAUCAAAGACCCAAGACCCACAGGGCAGCUAUUAUGGGAACCAGCGGUCAGCCAACUCUGAUAAGUGGUUUCUGCUGCACUCUUUUCUUACACACUGUGGCCCAGAGGAGCUUGGCCGGGUCACCAGGCAAAGCACUGAGCUGUUUCCCUAAAGGGUCUGCCCAGAGCCUCCUCAUUACAGUUACAGCUGCCCUCGAGGAGGCUGCUGGUGUAGACUGAGCCUGGAUCCCACCUCACGCUAAGGCUGGGUACAUACUCCAGGUUGACCCUUGAUCCCUGUCCCAGGCUGAGCAUGGAUCUCUGGGCAAAUAUUGGCCAUUUCUGGGACUCUCAGGGCUGGAUGGGAGUGGCUCUGUGGCCACUGGGGGCCUUGUAAAAGACCCAGCACUGUUUGCUCUGGCCACCUGCUCCCUAUGCAUCCAGAAAUCCAGGUCACUUCUGAAGGCAAAGUCAUGUCUCUGCUUUCAGCCUGACCUGCUCAUCACCAUUUGCCGGUGAGAGUGACCGAGCCACCCUCCUGAAUGUGCUGGAGGGGCGGGUGUCUUGGAGCAGCCCCAUGGCUGCCCACCUCAGCGAGGAUGCC
Molecule: long non-coding RNA, 1838 nt
Filed under: Lynx pardinus (Iberian lynx)
Lineage: Eukaryota; Metazoa; Chordata; Mammalia; Carnivora; Felidae
Source: RNAcentral